This 253-nucleotide ribosomal RNA is filed under the name uncultured bacterium. RNAcentral describes it as "partial 16S ribosomal RNA". It matches the Rfam family "Bacterial small subunit ribosomal RNA", at positions 524 to 776 of the family's 1533-position model. The record is from RNAcentral.
UACGGAGGGUGCAAGCGUUAUCCGGAUUCACUGGGUUUAAAGGGUGCGUAGGUGGGCUGGUAAGUCAGUGGUGAAAUCUCCGGGCUUAACUCGGAAACUGCCGUUGAUGCUAUCAGUCUUGAAUAUUGUGGAGGUAAGCGGAAUAUGUCAUGUAGCGGUGAAAUGCUUAGAUAUGACAUAGAACACCGAUAGCGAAGGCAGCUUGCUACACAAUUAUUGACACUGAGGCUCGAAAGCGUGGGGAUCAAACAGG